RNAcentral lists this ribosomal RNA (468 nucleotides) under uncultured bacterium. Its description in RNAcentral is "partial 16S ribosomal RNA". It matches the Rfam family "Bacterial small subunit ribosomal RNA", at positions 28 to 507 of the family's 1533-position model. The record is from RNAcentral.
GACGAACGCUGGCGGCGUGCUUAACACAUGCAAGUCGAACGGAAAGGCCCUGCUUUUGUGGGGUGCUCGAGUGGCGAACGGGUGAGUAACACGUGAGUAACCUGCCCUUGACUUUGGGAUAACUUCAGGAAACUGGGGCUAAUACCGGAUAGGAGCUCCUGCUGCAUGGGGGGGGUUGGAAAGUUUCGGCGGUUGGGGAUGGACUCGCGGCUUAUCAGCUUGUUGGUGGGGUAGUGGCUUACCAAGGCUUUGACGGGUAGCCGGCCUGGGAAGGUGACCGGCCACAUUGGGACUGAGAUCCGGCCCAGACUCCUACGGGACGCAGCAGUGCGGAAUAUUGCACAAUGGGCGGAAGCCUGAUACAGCAGCGCCGCGUGCGGGAUGACGGCCUUCGGGUUGUAAACCGCUUUCGCCUGUGACGAAGCGUGAGUGACGGUAAUGGGUAAAGACGCACCGUCUAACUACGUG